GGGGAGAUUCAGCGUGUCUCGCGUGUGGGCGAGCGGUACUCGUGCGACGAGCGGCGUACGCGCCGCGAGCGCCCCGUGCCGCCGCUGUCCCGCCGCGUACGCGUGCACUUCUCCACCCAGUAGGACGUCGCGACCCGUUGGGCGUCGGUCUGAGGCCCGCGGUGGAGCCCGCGCGUGUUCGCACGCACGGACCCGCGGUCGCCCGACCGGCUCGCUCGACGGUAUGACUGUGGCGAGGGGCCGCGACUCGUUCGCGUCCGACCCGUCGCAAGCGCGCGCGGUCAACUCGAUGCGUCGGACUUCGUGUGCCGGCCUCGAGCCCGUGCGGCUGCUGGCGGCGGUGUUCUCGGACAGACUCCUUACACGCCCGUCGGCGACGCUAUUGCUUUGGGUACUUUCAGGGCCCGUCUUGAAACACGGACCAAGGAGUCUAGCAUGUGCGCGAGUCACUGGGACUUGAUAAACCCAAAGGCGAAAUGAAAGUGAAGGCGGGCCUCGCGCCCGCCUAGGGAAGAUCGGUCGUACCACGACAGGGUGGCGGCCGCGCACUCCCGGGGCGUCUCGCGCUCAUCGCGAGCUGAGGCGCACCUAGAGCGUACAUGCUGGGACCCGAAAGAUGGUGAACUAUGCCUGGUCAGGACGAAGUCAGGGGAAACCCUGAUGGAGGUCCGUAGCGAUUCUGACGUGCAAAUCGAUCGUCGGAACUGGGUAUAGGGGCGAAAGACUAAUCGAACCAUCUAGUAGCUGGUUCCCUCCGAAGUUUCCCUCAGGAUAGCUGGCACUCGUUUGAGACUGAGUCUCAUCCGGUAAAGCGAAUGAUUAGAGGCCUUGGGGUCGAAACGACCUCAACCUAUUCUCAAACUUUAAAUGGGUGAGAUCUCCGGCUUGCUUGAAAGCAAUUAUUAUGAAGCCGNGAGA
This 918-nucleotide ribosomal RNA is filed under the name Oxyporus niger. RNAcentral's name for it is "eukaryotic LSU rRNA". The stretch from base 421 to 918 matches the Rfam family "Eukaryotic large subunit ribosomal RNA", at positions 665 to 1107 of the family's 3401-position model. Lineage: Eukaryota; Metazoa; Arthropoda; Insecta; Coleoptera; Staphylinidae. The record is from RNAcentral.